AGACUUGCUCUUCCUGAAGGACAAUGUAAAGACCGACAUAGAUAGAGGAAAAGAAAGGAGAUUGGAAGAGGACAACAAAUCAAGGCAGCUAGAAGUGGAGAGACAGAGAGAAUUGAAAACUGUGAGACUGAAAGAAGAGGAGAGCAAGAGGAAAGCCAUGAUGGAAAAACUGAAAGAGGACGAAAGGAGGAAGAGAUGGAUGGAAGCAGAAAUGGAGAGAAAGGAACAGGAGGAGAGGCUGAGAGAAAAGGAAAGGGCCAAACUAAGAGAAGAGGAGAGAAAGAAAAAAGAGAUGCAAGAGAAGACAAGGAGAGAGCUGGAGCAGAUAACACAAAGAGAGAGGGAGGAGAAGGGGAAGAAAGCCAAAGUGGCCAAGAAAUUAAUCCAGGCAUGUGACAGCGAUGACAUUGACGUAGAGAGCUUGAGUGAUGAAGAUAUGUGGAAGGAUAAGGAGCUCCCAAUGGACCAAGAGAAAAGGCAGACAAAAGACGAAAAGGAACAUGCAUGGCUACAGGAAAAACACAACAAAGAGAAGGAAAAUGAGAAUCCAAGUGACUCCAAGACUGUGACUAAUUCAAAUAGUUUGUGGAUGCAUAAGGCCAAGAGCCCAAAGCUGUCAGUCAGCAAUGUAUGGACGAUCCAGCAAUAUGAUAAUACAGAGACUGAUCAUGUCAUACAAGGUCAUUCUGAGGUAGGAGAAACACUUGUGAUGACACUCAGUAAUGAUGAUAUGAAUACAUGGACCCAGCUAAAGGCAAAAACAGAUGAAGAGGAUGCAGAGAGAGAGAAACAGAGGCAGAUGGACGAAAAGAGGAUGAGAGAUGUGGACAAUGGAGGAAAGAAAAAAGAGAGAAAACAGGGAGAGAUGGUAGCACAGACAGCAAACAAGCCACCCAAGAUCAGCAGAGACUUAGAAAUCGUCCAAAAGAUAGAGGAGGAAAGAAAGAAAGAAGAGAUGGAGAAAGCAGCACAGAAGGAGCAAAAAGAGGCAGAGAGGAGAAAGAUAGAGAUUGAGGAGGAGAGAAAAGUGAGAGAAAGAGAGGAGAUGAGAAAGAUUGUAGAGGUGAUGAACAGGAGGUGGGAGGCUCUGCCAGGAGACAGCGAUGACCGCAACGGGGCGACUGACUCCGAUGACUUGUGGAUGGAUGAGGUGGAGAAGAGGCGGCAAGUGGAGGUCAUAAACCCCCAAAACAAACCUCAGGAAGAGGGGGAAAGAGGACACACCCUGCCUGGAAGUGCCCAAGUAAACGUAGAGCAGAAAAAGAAAGGACGAUCUGUGUUGAAGUGGCUGAAGAAGAGACUGAGUUUUGGGACCACAAAAGUGAAACAGUGAUAUGGACACACAAAGACACAUAUGGACAAUGAAAGGGAAAGAAAGGAAUCACAGAUUCUCCAUAAAUUUGUCACAUCCUACAUAUCAUCUUCCCAAUAAUAGAAUUAAUCUCAAAAUCUCAGUGGACAAAUACAACGUUUU
Long non-coding RNA from Clupea harengus (Atlantic herring), 1474 nucleotides. The record is from Ensembl. NCBI's taxonomy places the organism in Eukaryota, Metazoa, Chordata, Actinopteri, Clupeiformes, Clupeidae.